Molecule: non-coding RNA, 178 nt
Filed under: Tissierellia bacterium
Lineage: Bacteria; Bacillati; Bacillota; Tissierellia
Description: 6S RNA
Rfam family: 6S / SsrS RNA
About the family: E. coli 6S RNA was the first non coding RNA to be sequenced, but its function was unknown until recently. It consists of 184 nucleotides that fold into an extended hairpin structure with a large single-stranded internal bulge.
Source: RNAcentral
AACAUUCUGCGUUGUUCGAUAUCCCAUUUAAUUCAACCGACAAAAAGAACGCGGGUAUCUGGCGUUUAGCAUUUGAUAACAAGCCCUCUUUGAAGGGACGUUAGAAAUUGUUAACAAGAAUCCCACCUGAAUAAGGCGGGCGUGAAUUAGUUGGGAGUAACGGCAUCGCGGUAUUAAC